Molecule: long non-coding RNA, 3729 nt
Organism: Cyprinus carpio carpio
Lineage: Eukaryota; Metazoa; Chordata; Actinopteri; Cypriniformes; Cyprinidae
Source: Ensembl
CAUGAAAUAUUAUUUUUUUAACUUUUGAAAUGAAACUUAUCAUUAUGAAUAGAACACAUUCUGAGUACGUGACUUCUCAGAAUCUCUCAACAACACUUGGGUUUAAUUUAAAUACGUGGACUUCUUCUCAGAAUCUCUAUCACCAUGUGGAUUUCUUAGAAUCUCCACACACCAAUCCCCCACUCGAGUCUUAUCAAAAGACUCGCCACAACCUUUUCCUUAAAUCAAAACCAAAAAAUACAGAGUAAUUCAAAAGAAAAAUACAUGAUGCAUACAUGAAAAUGUAGAAAAUCAAUAAAACAAUUUCAGAUAGAUAGUACUGUAGAUACCUCUCUAACCCCAGCUACCUUAAAAUUAACAAAGAUCUUCACCAAGAUGGCCAGACGAGAACUCCUAAGGAAAUUCGACCCCUGGCGUCCCCUGGACUUUUGCUGGGUUGAGGACUUAACACAGCCGUCCAUCUUUCCCAACUCUAAACUCUAUCAUUGUUCUUUCUCUUCUUGCCCUUGGGAGAUAGCAGUUGAAGAUAUUAAUUUCCAAACUUUCGUUGAUCGUUUUCAACAUCUCAUACCUUUCCUUACCCUUCACCUGUAAGGUAUAGAUUUCCUCAUCACUACAAAUGGGAGAAUAAAAAUAUCUUUUGAUCUAUAUGUAAAUCUAUAUAUAUCAGCUGGUAGACUUUAGCACAGGUCUCUCAGAUGACGUAGAAUUAGUUAACGAGUAAUGUUAUGAUGAUGCGAUGAAACACUGAUGUCCAGCCACGAGCACAGCAACCACUCCCAGAAUGUCAAUGAGCUGCACUGUUGCAGAAGUCACAUUAAAGGGUCACCCUUAGAACCAGUCGUGUGUGGUAAAUAUACGCAGAAUAUUUCUGUGACAGCAUGCACUCGUACCUUUUAGAGAUAUAGAAUAGUAGGAGCAGAAAUAUUUGGAUAAAAACACAACAAAAACACACACAUAACGACACAUAGACAAACUAAACAGGACAAUACCAGUACACAUAAACAUAAACACCAUGGUUUUCAGUUUCUCUUUUUUUUUUUAUAUAUAUAUAUAUAUAUUAAACACAAUAGGUCCGGAUGGAAUCAUAGUUGAGAACCUAAAAAGAGGAAACAAUUAGUCAUUGUUCUUCCUUAGCAGACAUUCCUUGGAUAUAAAAUACUGCACCUGUUGGACUAAAUCACAUUAGAAAGAGAGUUAGUAUCAGCAAGCGGCGACAGAGGCUUCACUUGUGCAAGAUGCAUCCAUCGAGUCAAACCUGGCUCGAUUUCAACAAGAAGAAAUGUUGGAGUAGUCAACAAUACCGAAUAAGGACCCUCAUACUUGGAGGACAUUGGUCCUAAGUUCCCUAUUUUCUGUAUCAUCACUUCGUCCCCCACUUGUACGUGAUUUUUAACCUUUACAUUGAAUAUAGUGUUUUAAGAUCUCAAGCAUUUUGAGCACUGAGGGCACUCAAAUUGGCAUUCUUAAUGCGCACGUGAGUACUUUAAGAUACUCCUGUAAAGUGUCUUUCAGUGGACCCGAAGGACCUGAGCACAACAACUGAGCUUUAGGGGAAGGUACAGUUAAAACCCAAAGACCUUUUAGAAAGAAAUUUGACUUAGUUGUACUUUCUUUUUAUAUGUCUUAUACAACUAUGAUGAAUUUUGGUUAAUUUGUUAUAUUGUAAAAUAAAUUAAUUGCCAUAAACGUAUGUAUGUAUUAUUCUCUGGAAGCCGGGCUAAAUGAAUAAUCACUGUUAUUGCAUUCCUGACAUAGGUCAGACCCUCAGUCACCUCAAAGAUACCAAAUACAGACAUUGUUUAUAACCUAAAUCCCAGUAAAGAUACCCCUAUUUUAUGAAAAUCUAUCAUUCCUGAACCAUGGUGCAAUGAGAGGGACUGAAAAUCCAAUACACCCUUUCAGAGCAUCUGGAAAAUUUACAACAAAACUAGUACAUAUUUGUACCCAUGAUCAGAAGGUAACGAAAUAAAAUCCAAUUGUAAAUGUGUGAAUGGUCCUCGCGGGCGAGGACUGUGACCAAUUGGGAAUUUAACUUUUCCAAAUUAUGGCUGCGUUUGCAAACAGUGGAUACAUCUGGACAGUCUAUCCUUCACAGUUUGUAACAUCUCUGACCAAAACCAUGUUUGUUGUAACAUAGCAUAUGUUUUCUGAACCCCUUGGUGUGCAAUGCUGUGGUACAAAUCAAUUAGUUCAGUUUGAUAUCCGCUAGAUGGAAUGACUUUUCAUUCAGGGCAUAAACCCCUUCUUCAGUUAAGGUAGCUCCUAAUUUCUGACACAUUUCACGAUCCUCAGUUGUGUACAAUUUAGAUAAAGUUUUGGAACCCGUGCAAUCAGGAUGAACAGGGAAAAUAACAGCUACUUCCUCAAGUGCCACACCCUUUGCACCUUCUCUCGCAGCCUUAUCAGCUAGAGAGUUUCCUUUUGCCAACCAAUCAUUGAAUGUACUGUGACCUGUGACUUUACAUACCGCGACACUGUUUGGUGGAAUUUUCUCACACGUGUCAAGAAUUUCUUUAAUCAUGGUUUGAUGAGUUAUUGGCAUACCCGCUGUGGUCAAAUAACAACAACGUUUCCAAACAGGGCCAUAACUCUGCACUACAUGGUAGCUGUAUGCACUAUCAGUAAAAAUAUUUACAUUAGUGGAGCUAUUUUCACUGGCAGUUAGUUUAAGAGCCAGAUUUAAGGCAGCUUUCAAAGCAUGCAAUUCAGCUAUCUGAGCACUUCCUCCCGAAGCGACCCCUCAGCCAAGACCCCGCCCGUCUUCCCCUCUACUACCACCCACCCCGUGUAGCGUGUGUCACCCUCGUAGAAACUGCUGCCAUCCACGAACAUGUCCAGAGAAUCUGAAAACGGUUCAUCUCUGACAAAAUGUCCCCUGUCACAGAUAAUUACCUCGGCGCAGUCAUGGAGGCAGAAUUUGUCCGGUUGUCUGCAACAACAGUGAGCUGAGGGUUCAUGAGAGCAGUUUCCCAUUUUGCACGUCGUUGAUUUGAAAUCGACUUUAUUUUUGUCUCUGCGAGCAUGCGUAGAAAACGAUGUGGAGAGUGAAGGAUCAUCUGAUUGUAACAGACGAUGGCCUCAGUGACCUUCAACGCCCACUCAGCACAGUCCAAGGCCAUCAAACAGGGCAUCUGUCCAUUCAUGGAAGAAGGAAUCAAAGUUGAAUAAUACCCAACUAUGCCAUAACUUUUGUCACCUUUACAUUGUCCCAGCACACAGUUAUAAGUACUUGGCCCAACAUGUGUCCAUACAUGGAAUGUCUUUGUCAUGUCGGGGUGAUAUAACGCGGGAGAGGAGAGUAAAGGACUCAGCCAUGUCCGCUGUCCACUCCAAAGGGGAAGCACCCGGAAGGCCUCCUUUAAGAGCCUCUGUUAGAGGUUUAGCCAAAUCAGAAAAAUCUGGGAUAUACAUCCGAUUAAAAUUAAAUAGCCCCAUUAAUGAUCUUAAACCAGUAACUUUGGUUGGCUUAUUUAAAUGAGUGAUGGCUAUGACCCAGUCUGGAAGAGGUCUCUUUCCCUCACGACCUAUACUUUGACCUUAAAAUGUAACUUCCGAUUGAAACAAUUGGACCUUUCGUUUGUUCAAGAGGAAACCCGCCUCUUGGAGUAUUUUCAACAACCGAGUGAGUACACUCAAGUGUUGUGCUUUAUCUUGAGAUGCGAGAAGAAUGUUGUCACAAUAUUGAAAGGCAAAUCUGUAUUGAUCUUCUUCUCUGAUAGGACAAAA